Molecule: long non-coding RNA, 486 nt
Organism: Oncorhynchus tshawytscha (Chinook salmon)
Lineage: Eukaryota; Metazoa; Chordata; Actinopteri; Salmoniformes; Salmonidae
Source: Ensembl
AGGUCAGUAUAGUAGACACAACAUGAGGUCAUUACGUUAGACACAACAUGAGGUCAGUACAUUAGACACAACAUGAGGUCAGUACAUUAGACACAACAUGAGGUCAGUACAUUAGACACAACAUGAGUACAUGAGAAACAACAUGAGGUCAGGACAUUAGACACAACAUGAGGUCAGUACAUUAGACACAACAUGAGGUCAUUACAUUAGACACAACAUGAGGUCAUUACAUUAGACACAACAUGAGGUUAGUUCUGUAGACACAACAUGAGGUCAGGAGACACAACAUUUUUUUUUUUUUUCUUUUCACCUUUAUUUAACCAGGUAGGCCAGUGGAGAACAAGUUCUCAUUUACAAUUGCGACCUGGCCAAGAUAAAGCAAAGCAGUUCGACACAUACAACGACACAGAGUUACACAUGGAGUAAAACAAACAUACAGUCAAUAAUACAGUAUAAACAAGUCUAUAUACGAUGUGAGCAAAUGAG